Molecule: small RNA, 76 nt
Filed under: Buchnera aphidicola str. Sg (Schizaphis graminum)
Lineage: Bacteria; Pseudomonadati; Pseudomonadota; Gammaproteobacteria; Enterobacterales; Erwiniaceae
Description: tpke11
Rfam family: tpke11
About the family: In Yersinia located in ICR upstream dnaJ (chaperone)gene. Has temperature responsive RNA structure.
Source: Rfam by way of RNAcentral
AUUAGAGUAUUUAAACCAGCACGGGCGUAGAAAAAAUCUACGCCCGUGUACUUAUUUUGAAAGCAGGAAGAAUAGC